CACGCCCUAAACGAUGCGAACUAGGUGUUGGGGAAGGAGACUUUCUUAGUACCGCAGCUAACGCGUGAAGUUCGCCGCCUGGGGAGUACGGUCGCAAGACUGAAACUCAAAGGAAUUGACGGGGGCCCGCACAAGCGGUGGAGUAUGUGGUUUAAUUCGAUGCAACGCGAAGAACCUUACCUGGCCUUGACAUGUCCGGAAUCCUGCAGAGAUGCGGGAGUGCCUUCGGGAAUCGGAACACAGGUGC
This 247-nucleotide ribosomal RNA is filed under the name uncultured bacterium. RNAcentral's name for it is "partial 16S ribosomal RNA". It matches the Rfam family "Bacterial small subunit ribosomal RNA", at positions 796 to 1041 of the family's 1533-position model. The record is from RNAcentral.